Molecule: non-coding RNA, 303 nt
Organism: Lepisosteus oculatus (spotted gar)
Lineage: Eukaryota; Metazoa; Chordata; Actinopteri; Semionotiformes; Lepisosteidae
Source: RefSeq, a predicted model, not a curated record
UCCUCGUACCGCCGCCGCUGCUCCCGCUCCUGCUGUUUGCGGAUCUCGCGCUCCCGGCGUUGUUGCUGCCCAACGACAGGUCAAAGUAAUUUAUUACUGCAGACAGCCAAGACACGACGGGGAAAGAUUUCUGCCGCUCUGACUGAAAUGCUGCGAGAUGGCAACUCGAUCUUCACCUUCUGAAGGGUUAUAUUGAUGCCCUGAAGUAGAAUACUUCAAAUAAUACAAUAAAAAGACCCUGGAAAAAUGAUUAUGAUGCACAGCAAGACUGUACCAGCUAUAGUAUAGUAAAGUGACUCCUUA